UUUCAGGAGUUUAUUCCGCGAACCAAACGAGGCCUUAGAAUAGAAUAGUUAUUACAUUGGUUUAUUUUAUUUUAUUUUUUUAAUUCCUGAGAAUAGUUCUUCCUCCCAAAAUGGAGAGGAAUAGCUAUUCAUUUUAUGCGGGAAUAGCAUAUCAAUCCUAAAUUGACUCCAAAGCCCUCUAUUGACCCAAAUCGAACGCAACGUUCCUAUUGCACAUGAUGGAUCUCGACAGUGAUCGAUUCCGCUACUUCUUGGUGUGAGCACUACAAGUUCAUGGAGCCCGCCGUGCACGCCAUGGCAUCCAAGAUCUCCGACGUCAUCUUUGCCAAGAUUAUUGUCAAUGAAUUACCUCCCAACAGCGCAGCUACAAGCUAUCCCCACUACAAUACUGCUGACCUUCUUGAGAACUAUUUCCAUUGCAGAAGCACUUCUUUCAUUUUUUGACAAUUCACUAAUCAUGUUGAGCACUGCAACUUGGUCUUUCAAACUGCAUGGUGCCUUUAGCCACUGAGUUCUCUGGCGAAAUGGAAGUGCUUAUGGAGGGCAGUAGUAAUGGAGUACUUUCUUCUUUAAGAUUGGGCUUUCUCAUCAAUCCCUUCAUCAGCAGCAUCCAAUGUAGUCUAAAUCUGAUGCUAAAAGUACGGGAUGAUUUGGAUCGCUUUAAAGACAAGCCUAUGAGAGUAUGCUAUGUGGAUGUGGAGUCCAAAUGUCAAGAAAAGGAUGGGGUCUUUGUGCUGGAUUCCAUGGAAACAGAAUCGGAGAGUUGUGUGUGGAAGUUGGCAAAUGUGAAGGAAAACAGGGACCCCGAAAGCAAAGGUACUCCUUUAAGCCGUAAACAAAGGAUUGGAGAUUAAAAGUGCCAUUUGGGAUGCAUAAAAAGGGUGUUCCUGUACCAUGAAUACUGAAAUUUUACUAAUUGAGUUGUAUUGAAGACCGCGAGAUGAGAUGAUGAUGAAGCUGCCUUUGUGUUAGUUGAUGAAAUGAUCCCACUACAAUAUGCAGAUUUUGUGCGGCAUUCCUGGAUUCCUAAUUCCUAACUUUGGUGCGACUUGCAAAAUGCAAACCCCUCUCUCUCUCUCUCUCUCUCUCUCUCUCUCUCUCUCUCUCUCGUUGUUGUUGUUGUUGGGUAGUGGGCCGAAACUUUGGUUUGGGCUCCACGGUAGAUGGCCCAGCCCAAUGUGCAAACCAUAGUCUACGUGUAGUCCUUCCGUCCCGUACUUACAAAGUAAUUAUGGAGUCACUUAUUCAUAACAA
Molecule: long non-coding RNA, 1254 nt
Organism: Alnus glutinosa
Lineage: Eukaryota; Viridiplantae; Streptophyta; Magnoliopsida; Fagales; Betulaceae
Exons: 2
Source: RefSeq, a predicted model, not a curated record